GUAGUCCGGAUUGCAGUCUGCAACUCGACUGCAUGAAGUCGGAAUCGCUAGUAAUCGCGGAUCAGCAUGCCGCGGUGAAUACGUUCCCGGGUCUUGUACACACCGCCCGUCAAACAAUGGGAGUGGUGUUUACCAGAAGUCGUUAGCCUAACCGCAAGGAGGACGGCGACCACGGUGAGCACCGUGACUAAUGUUAAGUCGUAACAAGGUAUC
RNAcentral lists this ribosomal RNA (213 nucleotides) under uncultured bacterium. RNAcentral's name for it is "partial 16S ribosomal RNA". It matches the Rfam family "Bacterial small subunit ribosomal RNA", at positions 1288 to 1500 of the family's 1533-position model. The record is from RNAcentral.